Molecule: ribosomal RNA, 106 nt
Filed under: uncultured bacterium
Lineage: Bacteria
Description: partial 16S ribosomal RNA
Rfam family: Bacterial small subunit ribosomal RNA
Source: RNAcentral
CCUUGUACACACCGCCCGUCAAGCCACGAAAGUCGACAGUACCCGAAGUCGUGUACCCAACCCGCAAGGGAGGGAAGCGCCCACGGUAAGGUCGAUGAUUGGGACU